GGACGGAAUCCAUCCAUACCUUGUUGCUGGCGGUGCAGAUCGAAGCCGUUGGUGGAGGUUCUUCAAACCCCAGUCACCGACAUCCAUGAGAGAGGAGAAAGCCCUUUCUCCGCAAGCGUUUGGUGUGGACUGGUGUGAGGUUGGACAAGAUUCAUUACCAAGUGCACUCAUUUCACAUUGUCAGCUGUGAGAUCGCUUGAUCCUUCACCAACAUCAAAAGAGGUAAAUUUGGUAUUGUUCUUUUCCAUCUCUACUUACACCUUGCUGAGUGUCAUUACGGAUAGGGACGGUACAUCUCGCCCGGUCUACGGCAACCAAGAGGAUGCAAACAACUAUGUCACCAAGACGCACCACUUC
Triticum aestivum (bread wheat) is the source of this 357-nucleotide long non-coding RNA. RefSeq lists it as uncharacterized. Lineage: Eukaryota; Viridiplantae; Streptophyta; Magnoliopsida; Poales; Poaceae. The record is from RefSeq and is a predicted model, not a curated record. The transcript has 3 exons.